AGGUGGUUGUGGAGUAUAAGAUCGUAAGAUUCUUGGUGUUGGGAUUGAGGUCAUGAUUGCUUAAUGAGAUUUUUGGCUAUGAAGAGCAUUGUAGUACACUCUCUGGCAUCUGAUUCAGAAGCAGCAGCAGCAGCA
Chiloscyllium plagiosum (whitespotted bambooshark) is the source of this 135-nucleotide non-coding RNA. Lineage: Eukaryota; Metazoa; Chordata; Chondrichthyes; Orectolobiformes; Hemiscylliidae. The record is from RefSeq and is a predicted model, not a curated record.